UACGUAGGUGGCAAGCGUUGUCCGGAUUUAUUGGGUUUAAAGGGUGCGUAGGCGGCUUUGUAAGUCAGUGGUGAAAUAUGGCAGCUCAACUGUCAGGGUGCCAUUGAUACUGCGGAGCUUGAGUACAGAUGAGGUAGGCGGAAUUGACGGUGUAGCGGUGAAAUGCUUAGAUAUCGUCAAGAACACCGAUAGCGAAGGCAGCUUACUAGGCUGUAACUGACGCUGAGGCACGAAAGCGUGGGGAGCAAACGGG
Molecule: ribosomal RNA, 253 nt
Filed under: uncultured bacterium
Lineage: Bacteria
Description: partial 16S ribosomal RNA
Rfam family: Bacterial small subunit ribosomal RNA
Source: RNAcentral